GUAUUGAUUGCGUGUUAUCGCAAAAAUGGGGGUCAUUCUACACUUUUAAAAUAGGGGUUUGUGUGAAAACGCAAGCCCCCCUCCCGGAUCGGUUUGAUCCCAAAGGGUUGCCCACGCGGUGGUGCACAAAAGGGUGAGAUGGAUUUUAUGUGAGAGGACGCACUCCGGCGUGCACGACUUUUGUGUCAAAAAGUCAGCGACAGCCCUCGCACGCCUCACACAUGUUUGUACGAUAAUGAUCCUUCCGCAGGUUCACCUACGGAAA
Molecule: unclassified non-coding RNA, 265 nt
Filed under: uncultured fungus
Lineage: Eukaryota; Fungi
Description: sequence contains ITS1
Source: RNAcentral